RNAcentral lists this ribosomal RNA (1656 nucleotides) under Myxidium sp. n. LFR-2019. RNAcentral describes it as "SSU rRNA". It matches the Rfam family "Eukaryotic small subunit ribosomal RNA", at positions 355 to 1810 of the family's 1831-position model. The record is from RNAcentral. Lineage: Eukaryota; Metazoa; Cnidaria; Myxozoa; Bivalvulida; Myxidiidae.
ACGGGUACGGGGAUCAGGGUUCGAUUCCGGAGAGGGAGCCUGAGAAAUGGCUACCACAUCCAAGGAAGGCAGCAGGCGCGCAAAUUACCCAAUCCAGACACUGGGAGGUGGUGACGAGAAAUACCAGGUCGUUCCCAAAAGGAUUCGACACUGGAAUGAGUGUAAUUUAAGAAUUUCAUCGAUUAACAACUGGAGGGCAAGUCUGGUGCCAGCAGCCGCGGUAAUUCCAGCUCCAGUAGUGUAUCUUAAAGUUGCUGCGGUUAAAACGCUCGUAGUUGGACAAUAGAGUAAUUUAGUGCGGGCGGGAAGUGUAAUUACAUUAUAUAAUUAAUUAUAUGAUUAUUAUAUAUUAGGUUUAACCUAUAUAUAUAAUAUAGUAUAAUCUAAAAAUAUAACUGUAUCGCUUGUCGACCAUGCUGCUAGAUUACUUGUAUUAUUUCGUGAGAAUAACAUAUAGUCUUAAUUGUGCCGUAUGUUGUAUCUUACGUAAUGUGCCUUGAAUAAAUCAGAGUGCUCAAAGCAAGCAUAUUGUAUGAAUGUUAAUAGCAUGGAACGAAUGUAAUUGUGUAUGUAUAAUUGUAUAAUAUAUAUUUAUAUGUUAUAUGGUUAUAUAGCACCAACAACAAGUAUAAUACAUUGGUUAUUAUAAUUGUGGUGAUGAUUAAGAGGGGCAUUUGGGGGCAUUAGUAUUUGACCGCGAGAGGUGAAAUUCUUGGACCGGUCAAGGACUAACAAGUGCGAAAGCAUUUGCCAAGUAUGUUCCCAUUAAUCAAGAACGAAAGUGAGAGGUUCGAAGACGAUCAGAUACCGUCCUAGUUCUCACUGUAAACGAUGCCAACCCGGGAUCAGUUUAGAUGGAAAUAAAUGGAUCAAGGUUGGUCCCCCUGGGAAACCUAGAGUUUUUAGGUUCCGGGGGGAGUAUGGUUGCAAGGCUGAAACUUAAAGGAAUUGACGGAAGGGCACCACCAGGAGUGGAGCCUGCGGCUUAAUUUGACUCAACACGGGAAAACUCACCUGGUCCGGACAUUGAUAGGAUUGACAGACUAAUAGAUCUUUCAUGAUACAGUGGAUGGUGGUGCAUGGCCGUUCUUAGUUCGUGGAGCGAUCUGUCAGGUUUAUUCCGGUAACGAACGAGACCACGAUCUCCAUUUAGAAUAUUAAAAGUGUAAUAAAUAACUCAAGGCAUAUAUUAUUAUGAUAUAUGCUAAGAUUAUUUAUUAAUUUUGAUUGCAUAUAAGUAAAAUUAUAUGUAAUUCUAUGGAGAGACAACCGGAUUGUAAGCCGGAGGAAGCGUGGCAAUAACAGGUCUGUGAUGCCCUUCGAUGUUCAGGGCUGCACGCGCGCUACAAUGAUAACGACAGAGAGAAUCUGGACUGAGAAGUUCUGGGUAAUCUUGGAAAUCGUUAUCGUGAUGGGGAUUGAGCAUUGUAAUUAUUGCUCAUGAAAUAGGAAUUCCUUGUAAUUGCAACUCAUUUAGGUUGUAAUGAAUAAGUCUCUGCCCUUUGUACACACCGCCCGUCGCUACUACCGAGUGAAUGGUGUCAUGAUAUCUUGGGACUGGACAAUGUUAGCAAUGCAAAUUGUGGACUAUGCUAGGAGCAAGAUAAAAUGGCGCAAUUUCGAGGAAGUAAAAGUCGUAACAAGGUUUCCGUAGAC